GUGGCAGGCUGUAGUCCUGCAACAUGGGUUUAAGUCCUGUUUCUAUCA
RNAcentral lists this transfer RNA (48 nucleotides) under Bavayia robusta. RNAcentral's name for it is "partial tRNA-Tyr". Lineage: Eukaryota; Metazoa; Chordata; Lepidosauria; Squamata; Diplodactylidae. The record is from RNAcentral.